RNAcentral lists this ribosomal RNA (126 nucleotides) under Sphenodon punctatus (tuatara). The record is from RNAcentral. Lineage: Eukaryota; Metazoa; Chordata; Lepidosauria; Sphenodontia; Sphenodontidae.
UCUUAUGGCCAUGCCACCCUGAACACAGUCACACCCAAUCUCGUCUGAUAUGGGGAGUUGGAACAAGUUUGAGUCUGGUUAGUACUUGGUUGGGAGAUCGCCUGGGAAUACCAGGUGCUGUAGGCU